CUCCCUGCUUUUUUCCACCUCCAGCUUCUGCUCUCCCAUUCGCUGUCGCCUGCCAUUUGACCGUGGAUAUGACUAUAUAUGGGAUCCGACGGGCUAGGGAGGGAAGGCAGGCAGGGGCAGAGAGAUUUGUGCCUGUGUCUACUCUGAAUACGCGGGACGGGACGUUUGCCGCUGCCGGGGGCAGGCCAGAGCGGGUUGCACGGGUGAUGCUGUGAGCCGGAGCUGAUUGUCUGCAGGGAGCGAAGUUAUGCCUGAAAUGCCCAUUCUGCAAAGUACUGGCUUGAGUCGAGCGCUUGGGUGAUUGUUCUGCUCCGUAGCGGAGCUGGCUCGUCCCAUCCCACAGCCUCCAAUAAAUCCCAGCUCAAACAGCACUGGGAGCCCACCGAGCUUUCCUCCCUUCCUGUAACAACAGGUUUCUAACAGCCCACAAUGUAUAGGCAUUAACUGGGGGCCGGUCAUUCCGUGGGGUGUGGUAAAGUCUGGAGGGGUGUGUGUGUGUGUGAGUCUGUCUCACAAAUCCAUUCACAAUUUUCACACACAGCUUUAAGGAAACCCCAAGAGCCUUGAGGCUCAAGGAUGUACAGGGCUGGUGAAACUUUCUUCGCUUUUGCCCUUUGCGCAGGCAGGAAGUCAUAUUUUUGUAACCACAACUGGAGCCGAUCAUCUUCUGGCUUGUUACUACAUUUCUACUGGGACUGCCAGAUUUGGGAAUACAGUAUGGGGAAAGAAGGCAAGGGGGCCUGCUAGGGGUUAACUUUCUGCAUUUUAAAAAUGGAUUCAUUUCUCCUGGCACACACGGGGAUACAUUUGUAAAAAAUCAUCAAUUUACCUGAAUGGACAGAAAAAUUAUAUUCCUAAUGGAAUGUAGGCAGAUUGUGAGCUCUUAGAGAUAGGGGCUGUCUCUUGUUCUGUGUUUGUACAGUGCCUAGCACAAUCCUGACUAGGACCUCUACACACUAUUGUAAUAUUAAUAAUUUAAGUAAAACGCAGUAUUGUAAAUAGGGAUUGAUUUAUAAACAGGCAUGUCUACUUCCCACAUCUCCUUCUAAUAGACCAUUUUUUUAUUACAGUUUUCCUAGUUGUUUUUUGAGCAAGCAUCACUGCAACCAAACCCCAGACAAAAGAAUGUUGCAGCCAGAAGGAUUUCUCUGAGUGUCUGUGACAAGGAGGAGGAGUUUGUUCACUGUGCCCCCAGAGUAGUUCACAACCUGUUGUAAAAGAGAUGGACUUGCCCCCACUGAAAAUAGCUGAGUUGAUAAGGUUGACCAAACAACUUUGAAAGAAGGUGUAAUGUCUCAUUAGCACAAGGAGCAAGAUACAACAGGAUCUCUCAGACCCUGACAAACACAACACAGCUGCUGGGGCAAUUAGAGCUGUGAAUCAAAGGAGCCAAGGGAGAGGAGAAGAGAAGUACAAACAUGUACA
Molecule: long non-coding RNA, 1425 nt
Organism: Trachemys scripta elegans
Lineage: Eukaryota; Metazoa; Chordata; Testudines; Emydidae
Exons: 4
Source: RefSeq, a predicted model, not a curated record